This 3618-nucleotide long non-coding RNA is filed under the name Nicotiana benthamiana. RNAcentral describes it as "long non-coding RNA (NBEN_LNC005430)". Lineage: Eukaryota; Viridiplantae; Streptophyta; Magnoliopsida; Solanales; Solanaceae. The record is from RNAcentral.
GAUACCGAUGAUGAUGAUGAUGAUGUUGCUUCUCCUGCAAAAGCAUUGCCAAGAAGUGUUAGCAUAUUUGCACGCAGGCCUGAUUUAUAUUCUCGUAAAAAUGUUAGUUCUUUUCAAAAAUCUGAGUACCAUAGAAAUACAUCUCCAUAUAAAUAUGAGGAUGAAUUUGCUGAUUCAAAUAGAAAGCAAAAUAAUGUUCAUACUAGACUCGGUGAGAAACCAAAUUAUAAUCGCAGGUAUGCUUCUGCUCCUAGACCUGACAGACAACAUAGGUUUGAUGCUUCUAAGGAGCGAAUGAAAGCAGAUAAGACGCCGUCCCAAUUGCCAAACAGGAGCUUGUCGCGGAAAGAGAGGGAAACUCUGAAUAAACAUGGACCUACAGGAGGUGAACUUAAUGAAAUGAUUGGCAAAGCAAAGAUUUCUGGAAGCGGUACUGGCGCCAAUCAUAUUUUUGAAAGCACAGAAACCAUUGCACCUGGUGAUAUUUUCUUUUCUCAGGAUUAUGCAGCCUUGACUAUGCAGCAGAUUACUGAAAACAAAUCCAAUAAAAAGACUCAGGUACAGACUGAUAGGAAUGCUGUACUGUCUGCGAAAACACCUGCCAAUUUUAAUAAUCAGAGUAGCAGAAGGAAUUUAUCUAGUAAUAAUAUGACUCGACCAACUAUGAGGGCGAGCUCUUCAGUAAGUAGGCAGAGCAGUAAUUUGAGUGAGGUUAGUGGAAGGACAACUGCAAGUAUGAAAAGGUUCACGGCGAACAGGCAAAAGAAACAAUCUGAAGCAUGGUUUUCUUGUCUCAACAAGGGAUCUUGUAGAACCUCAAGAAGAGAAUCUCCAGAAAGAGGGCGCCCGAUUGAUGAAGCUUUAGUUAUUGCCAAGGCAUCUAUAGUUGAAAGCCUGAGACCCUUUUGGGCUGAUAGUUAUCAACCUGCUUCACUAGAAGAAUUCACUUGCCACAAGAAAGAAGCUUUACUACUUAAAGAUCUGGUAAAGACAAUAGGAAAUUUUGUACUAGUAGUUAACUUUUUCUGCUUAGAUUACACAAGUUUCUUGGCUUUCUAAUGCUUUUUCUUUUAGGUUUCUUCAAAUGAAACCUUUCCUCAAGUCUUAUUCAUGGGACCUUCUGGCUCUGGGAAGAGAACGCUCGCGAUUGCUCUUCUUCGUGAAAUCUAUGGAGAUGCAAUCUGCAAUGUAAGUAGAAUGACAUUUAUUUGAAGAUAUAGAGCUACUAUGCUACAUUUUUUACGGUUCAUCAGUAGAAAUCUUCAAGUUCUUUAUGUUCUUGUUUGCAGAUAUCCCAUGAUCUGAAAUACUUCCAAAUUAAGGUAUCUUAGGCUUGAUUUCUUUUCUGCUAUUUAUUCACUUUUCUGAUCUUCAUAAAAAUUAAAAUUAAUUAUGCGGCUUAAAGGUCUGCGAUUUACAAUUGAUCUCGAUUCAUCUGUUAAGCAGUUAAUGUUUGUAAACACCACAAUUUUAACUAGCAACCUUUAUUUGGUAAAUUGGAACGCCAAGCAGUUAAUGUUUGUAAACACCACAUAACCACAUUGUUAACUAGCACCCUUUAUUUGGUACAUUGGAAUGCCAUUUUUAUUGCAUAACCAGUACCAAGUAGUAUCAGUUUUUUUCUCUUCUUAUCCCCUAUUUGUUGAUAGGAAACAAGGCCAAUGCAAGUUGUUGUACCAGUAAGCUCAAGUCCUCACCAUAUAGAGCUGAACGUUCAAUUGGAACCUAAUGCUAGAUACGCAAUAAUGGCUUUCGUUAAGCAAAUAAGUAGCGAGUAUGCAUUGACCCCUGAAAUCAGCAGAGUGAAUAUGAAGGCUGAUUACAAAGGUAAUCAUAUCUAUCAAUGCAAAAACUAUUUUAACACUGUAGUAUCACUUCAAUCUUGAUAUCUAAUUAAGAAAUAAAAUGCUGCUUACAGUAAUAGUUCUUUAUAAUGUGGACAAAGCUGCGGAGAACAUACAACACCUAAUAAAAUGGAUAAUGGACUGCUAUUCGGAUGCUUGCAAACUCAUUCUCUGCUGUGAAGAUGACGUAUCCACACUUGACUCAGUAAAAAGCCGCACCAAAGUUGUUGAACUAGCAGCUCCUGUAACUCAUGAAGUAAGACUCAAAGUAGUACAUUGUAAAAUAAUUUACAUUAACAUUGACUACAAAUGUAAUAUGUCAUCUGAAAAAUGAGUAUCGUUCAUAUCUUCAUCAAGACACGAUAAAUAUCCUUCUUACUUAAUCUUUUGCAUUGUUUUAGAUCAUGAAAGUUCUUAUUGAGAUAGCAAGAAAGGAAGAUUUUGAACUACCAAUGGAAUUUGCUGCUAAGAUAGCAGCCAAAUCAAAGCAAAACCUUAGGAGAGCAAUUAUGGCUCUUGAAGCCUGCAAAGCGCACAAGUAAGACUACUACUUACAGAUUAUGCUCUUGCUAUUAGUUUGUGGAUUACUAAUCCUCAUACUUAAUACAGCUAUCCCUUUGCCGAAGACCAACCAAUUUCAAUAGGAUGGGAAGAUAUUGUAAUAGAACUUGCAGCAGAAAUUCUAGCUGAUCCCACCACAACGAGGUACUUCCCUUUGUUCUUUUUCCAAUCUUUUUUAUUUCCUUCACUAUUUUUGUAAGGAAAUUAUGGAUCCACUUUAGACUGUUAGUUUACACUUGCAUAAACUAGACAUUUUUCUACUGGUACAACAGGUUAUUCUCUGCGCGGGGAAAGUUUCAAAAACUUCUGGUGGAGUUUGUACAUCCAAAAUUUAUUCUCCUGGUAAAGUAUAUGUACUUUAAUGAGGAUGGUUGAAGAGGUAAUAUUUAAGGGAGAUCAUGACAUGAUCAUUAUUCAAUGCAUGCAGAAACUAGUUGAAGAAUUCCUUAAAAGGGUUGAUGCUUGUAUAAAAAGGGAAAUUUAUUAUUGGCAUGCUUAUUAUGUAAGUUCUCUCCUUCUAUAUUAGAAUAUUUAUUUCAGAAAAGUUCAUUGAAUGAGUAAGGACGAUCUGCAGGAGAAAAGGCUCCCUCUUGGAACAACUGCUUUGUUAAAAUUAGAAGGUACCUUGUCAUGCUAUGUUAUAUAAAACAUUUUAAGUGUCAUCAGUUGUAUUCACCUGCAUUGUUGACAGAUUUAUAUGUAUGACUGCAGAAUUUGUGGCCAAAUUUAUGAGCAUUUACAGGAAAAAUUUGGGCAACCGUCAGCAGUUUCAAUAAAAUUCGUGACUACAUGGCAGCUAGUUUGAUUGAGGGAAGGCUCGAAUUUUUGGUGCAACAGCCAACAAGUCUUCCCCUUUUAUCAAACACUCUGCCUCCGUAAUGGAACAACAGCCAUUCUUGGGAAUUCUGGCAGAUUAUUGUAAAGAUAAUAUUGUGUGAAUGUGGUGAUGCGUACAAACAGAAAGCUCGUAUGCAUCUGGCUGUAAGCUUUGUUGGAGUUCUUGAACUGGUCCGUUAUGUAUCUGAGAGACAAAUAAUAUUAUGUUAUACUCGUAUUAUUUAGAAUUCAUUAUAUUGUAUGUCCAAAUCAAUCAUAAAGUGAUGGUCCACUCGCUCUGCAAAGUCUAUUUCUUUAGUCUCUUGUAUUGCUGUGUGCAUUGUCAAAUCUUGUUUGAGAGUGCAAUAGCUACUUUCUCUAUCGGUCUUAACAAAAA